This 29-nucleotide small RNA is filed under the name Bombyx mori (domestic silkworm). Its description in RNAcentral is "ovarian small RNA-8478". Lineage: Eukaryota; Metazoa; Arthropoda; Insecta; Lepidoptera; Bombycidae. The record is from RNAcentral.
UGCAAUGUUAGAGAAGACACAUCACUGUC